CCGUUGUUACUUGUUGAGUACGCCCCUGGCGUAGCUGCGCAUCUUCCAUCCAACAAUCUGGCCCACUCAUACCAGCCCAACCAGGAACAAUAGAGCGAACAGAAGACAACCCCACGUUGAAUUAGAUGUUGUGCAAACCAAGAAAUUAACUAAAUCUAAACAUAACUUUAUUGUAUAUUUACGUUGAUUUGUAACGUGGCAACUUAUAGUAGUGCCGGCU
Molecule: long non-coding RNA, 220 nt
Organism: Aedes aegypti (yellow fever mosquito)
Lineage: Eukaryota; Metazoa; Arthropoda; Insecta; Diptera; Culicidae
Exons: 3
Source: RefSeq, a predicted model, not a curated record